GAUGAACGCUGGCGGCGUGCCUAAUACAUGCAAGUCGAGCGAACAGACGAGGAGCUUGCUCCUCUGACGUUAGCGGCGGACGGGUGAGUAACACGUGGAUAACCUACCUAUAAGACUGGGAUAACUUCGGGAAACCGGAGCUAAUACCGGAUAAUAUAUUGAACCGCAUGGUUCAAUAGUGAAUGACGGUUUUGCUGUCACUUAUAGAUGGUUCCGCGCCGCAUUAGCUAGUUGGUAAGGUAACGGCUUACCAAGGCAACGAUGCGUAGCCGACCUGAGAGGGUGAUCGGCCACACUGGAACUGAGACACGGUCCAGACUCCUACGGGAGGCAGCAGUAGGGAAUCUUCCGCAAUGGGCGAAAGCCUGACGGAGCAACGCCGCGUGAGUGAUGAAGGUCUUCGGAUCGUAAAACUCUUUUAUUAGGGAAGAACAAAUGUGUAAGUAACUAUGCACGUCUUGACGGUACCUAAUCAGAAAGCCACGGCUAACUACGUG
Molecule: ribosomal RNA, 497 nt
Filed under: uncultured bacterium
Lineage: Bacteria
Description: partial 16S ribosomal RNA
Rfam family: Bacterial small subunit ribosomal RNA
Source: RNAcentral